GAUGAAGAACGUAGCGAAACGCGAUAUGUAAUGUGAAUUGCAGAAUUCAGUGAAUCAUCGAAUCUUUGAACGCACAUUGCGCCCCCUGGUAUUCCGGGGGGCAUGCCUGUUCGAGCGUCAUUUCACCACUCAAGCCUCGCUUGGUAUUGGGCAUCGCGGUCCGCCGCGCGCCUCAAAUCGACCGGCUGGGUCUUCUGUCCCCUAAGCGUUGUGGAAACUAUUCGCUAAAGGGUGUUCGGGAGGCUACGCCGUAAAACAACCCCAUUUCUAAGGUUGACCUCGGAUCAGGUAGGGAUACCCGCUGAACUUAAGCAUAUCAAUAAGCGGAGGA
Molecule: unclassified non-coding RNA, 331 nt
Filed under: soil metagenome
Description: partial contains 5.8S ribosomal RNA, internal transcribed spacer 2, and large subunit ribosomal RNA
Rfam family: 5.8S ribosomal RNA (bases 1-120)
Source: RNAcentral